Molecule: ribosomal RNA, 841 nt
Filed under: uncultured bacterium
Lineage: Bacteria
Description: bacterial SSU rRNA
Rfam family: Bacterial small subunit ribosomal RNA
Source: RNAcentral
CAUCUACCCUUGCAGCGCGAACUGGCGGACUUGAGUGCACGCAACGUAUGCGGAAUUCAUGGUGUAGCGGUGAAAUGCUUAGAUAUCAUGACGAACUCCGAUUGCGAAGGCAGCGUACGGGAGUGUUACUGACGCUUAAGCUCGAAGGUGCGGGUAUCGAACAGGAUUAGAUACCCUGGUAGUCCGCACGGUAAACGAUGGAUGCCCGCUGUUAGCGCCUGGCGUUAGCGGCUAAGCGAAAGCAUUAAGCAUCCCACCUGGGGAGUACGCCGGCAACGGUGAAACUCAAAGGAAUUGACGGGGGCCCGCACAAGCGGAGGAACAUGUGGUUUAAUUCGAUGAUGCGCGAGGAACCUUACCCGGGCUUGAAUUGCAGACGUAGGAUACAGAGAUGUUGACCCCCUUCGGGGCGUCUGUGAAGGUGCUGCAUGGUUGUCGUCAGCUCGUGCCGUGAGGUGUCGGCUUAAGUGCCAUAACGAGCACAACCCCUUUCCUUAGUUGCCAUCAGGUGAUGCUGGGCACUCUGGGGAUACUGCCACCGCAAGGUGUGAGGAAGGUGGGGAUGGCGUCAAAUCAGCACGGCCCUUACGUCCGGGGCUACACACGUGUUACAAUGGCCGGUACAGAGGGACGGUGCGAUGCAAAUCGCAUCCAAUCUUGAAAGCCGGUCCCAGUUCGGACUGAGGUCCGCAACCCGACCUCACGAAGCUGGAUUCGCUAGUAAUCGCGCAUCAGCCAUGGCGCGGUGAAUACGUUCCCGGGCCUUGUACACACCGCCCGUCAAGCCAUGAAAGCCGGGGGUGCCUGAAGUUCGUAACCGCGAGGAGCGACCUAGGGGCCA